UGACUCUGGUUUUUCUUCAGACUGCACAAGUCUUUCGCCUUUUACUAAAGACUUCGGUGGAGAGGAGCAGCCAUGAGUUUAAGAUAUUUUUGGCAGGCUUUGCCGAAUGGCUG
Small nuclear RNA from Scophthalmus maximus (turbot), 113 nucleotides. Its record names the gene U5. It matches the Rfam family "U5 spliceosomal RNA". Rfam says of the family: U5 RNA is a component of both types of known spliceosome. The precise function of this molecule is unknown, though it is known that the 5' loop is required for splice site selection and p220 binding, and that both the 3' stem-loop and the Sm site are important for Sm protein binding and cap methylation. The record is from Ensembl. NCBI's taxonomy places the organism in Eukaryota, Metazoa, Chordata, Actinopteri, Pleuronectiformes, Scophthalmidae.